RNAcentral lists this ribosomal RNA (315 nucleotides) under uncultured fungus. RNAcentral's name for it is "bacterial SSU rRNA". It matches the Rfam family "Eukaryotic small subunit ribosomal RNA", at positions 26 to 338 of the family's 1831-position model. Lineage: Eukaryota; Fungi. The record is from RNAcentral.
AUUGGUAUUCUAUAUCUUGUUUUCAAAGAUUAACCCAUCCAGUUUUAAGAAUAACCAUUUAUACCGUGAAACUGCGAAUGGCUCAUUAAAUCAGUUAUAGUUUAUUUGAUAGUACCUUUACCUGGAUAACCGUGGUAAUUCUAGAGCUAAUACAUGCCAAAAACCCCGACUCCGGAAGGGGUGUAUUUAUUAGAUAAAAAACCAAUGCCCUCCGGGGCUCCUUGGUGAUUCAUAAUAACUUAACGAAUCGCAUGGCCUUGCGCCGGCGAUGGUUCAUUCAAAUUCUGCCCUAUCACUUCGAUGUAGAUCGCAGUU